AAUUUUCGGCAAUGGGGGCAACCCUGACCGAGCGACGACGCGUGAGUGAAGAAGGUCUNCGGAUGNUNAAGCUCUGUUGUAAGGGNCGAACAGUACCAGUAGGGAAUGACUGGUACCUGACGGUACCUUACAAGCAAGCCACGGCUAACUACGUACAAGCAGCCGCGGUAAUACGUAGGUGGCAAGCGUUAUCCGGAAUUAUUGGGCGUAAAGGGAGCGCAGGCCGCUUAUUAAGUCUGAGGUUAAAGUUCGGGGCUCAACCCCGUGAUGCCUUAGAAACUGCUCGGCUAGAGUGCAGGAGAGGUGAGUGGAAUUCCAUGUGUAGCGGUAAAAUGCGUAGAUAUAUGGAGGAACACCAGUGGCGAAGGCGGCUCACUGGCCUGUAACUGACGCUGAGGCUCGAAAGCGUGGGGAGCAAAUA
This 421-nucleotide ribosomal RNA is filed under the name uncultured bacterium. RNAcentral's name for it is "partial 16S ribosomal RNA". It matches the Rfam family "Bacterial small subunit ribosomal RNA", at positions 360 to 774 of the family's 1533-position model. The record is from RNAcentral.